UGUAAAGCUAGAGUUCAGGAGGGGGAGCUGGAAUUCCUGGUGUAGGGGUGAAAUCUGUAGAUAUCAGGAAGAACACCGGUGGCGAAGGCGAGCUCCUGGCCUGAGGACUGACGCUGAGGCGCGAAAGCGUGGGGAGCGAACAGGAUUAGAUACCCUGGUAGUCCACGCUGUAAACGAUGUGCACUGGGUGUUGGUGCUUAAAGAGGCAUCAGUGCCGCAGCUAAGGCGAUAAGUGCACCGCCUGGGGAGUAUGCUCGCAAGGGUAAAACUCAAAGGAAUUGACGGGGGCCUGCACAAGCGGUGGAGCA
RNAcentral lists this ribosomal RNA (308 nucleotides) under marine sediment metagenome. Its description in RNAcentral is "SSU rRNA". It matches the Rfam family "Bacterial small subunit ribosomal RNA", at positions 634 to 939 of the family's 1533-position model. The record is from RNAcentral.